Long non-coding RNA from Magnolia sinica, 261 nucleotides. RefSeq lists it as uncharacterized. The record is from RefSeq and is a predicted model, not a curated record. The transcript has 2 exons. NCBI's taxonomy places the organism in Eukaryota, Viridiplantae, Streptophyta, Magnoliopsida, Magnoliales, Magnoliaceae.
UGAAUGCAAAUGGAAGGACAAUCCAGUAAUACAAGAUUCGUGAAUUCCCAAUGCUUUCAGACAACCGAACAAGCUAUAGUUGUUCAUCAGCCAAGCAAAAGUCAUACCCAAAUCUUGCGUUGUGACUUUGUAUUAUUUGUGGAACCUAAUGUUGUGUAAUAGUUUGAUUGAGUUUGUUUUGAAAACUUUAAAUAGUAAACAAGUGAGAUUGAUUGCUUGAUUGAGUUGUUAACUAUUUUGUUGGUAUUAUGGCUUUCAUGA